UGUAUAUGGACAUAUGUUGAGUAUAUGUAUGGUUGGCUAUGGUCUUAUAUGUUAAUGUUGACUUGUAUUAUGUCUCUUAUACUUGUGAAGUGAAGGUUUUAUCAAAAUGAUAUGAAAGCAUUUACUUUCUUGUAAAUGUCCGUUGUGCAUAUUUUCUUGCAUGGUCUCCAUACUUAGUACUUAAUUGUGCUAACCCCUUUCUUUCCCUUUUUGGACUAAAGUGUAGGGAUUUGGAGAUGAUGACAUGUCAU
This 251-nucleotide long non-coding RNA is filed under the name Solanum tuberosum (potato). Its description in RNAcentral is "long non-coding RNA (STUB_LNC001674)". Lineage: Eukaryota; Viridiplantae; Streptophyta; Magnoliopsida; Solanales; Solanaceae. The record is from RNAcentral.